UACGAAGAGUGCAAGCGUUACUCGGAAUUACUGGGCGUAAAGCGUGCGUAGGUGGUUCGUUAAGUCUGAUGUGAAAGCCCUGGGCUCAACCUGGGAAUGGCAUUGGAAACUGGCGACCUAGAGUGCGGUAGAGGGUAGUGGAAUUCCCGGUGUAGCAGUGAAAUGCGUAGAGAUCGGGAGGAACAUCCGUGGCGAAGGCGACUACCUGGACCAGCACUGACACUGAGGCACGAAAGCGUGGGGAGCAAACAGG
RNAcentral lists this ribosomal RNA (253 nucleotides) under uncultured bacterium. RNAcentral's name for it is "partial 16S ribosomal RNA". It matches the Rfam family "Bacterial small subunit ribosomal RNA", at positions 524 to 776 of the family's 1533-position model. The record is from RNAcentral.